Molecule: ribosomal RNA, 1385 nt
Filed under: Maguimithrax spinosissimus
Lineage: Eukaryota; Metazoa; Arthropoda; Malacostraca; Decapoda; Mithracidae
Description: Damithrax spinosissimus 16S ribosomal RNA
Rfam family: Archaeal large subunit ribosomal RNA (bases 639-1385)
Source: RNAcentral
AAGUUCAAUUUACCUUUAGGAAUUUAAAUAUAUUGUUUUAUAAAAAUUUAUGGAAUCAACUAAAAUAUUGAUAAGUAUUGGUUAGAGAAUAUAGGUGUUAGACUAAAGGGAAAAAGUACUGUCAAGGAAUGUUCAAAGAAGAGUUAAUAAAAGAUUUAGUAAUUAUAAAGUAGUGUACCUUGUGUAUCAGGGAGAAUUUAAGUAAGUUAAGUAUAUAAUAGACAUCUCGAAAUUAGAAAAGCUAAGUUCUUAAAAAGUUUCUGUAGAAAAAUAAUUUUUAAUAGGAAUUUAAAGGUGAAAUGCUAGAUGAGUCUUAUAAUAUCUAGUUUCCUAAAAAUGGAAUUUAAUUCUACUUAGGGUUUAAGGUAGGGCUUUAGGUUAACUGUAAGGGGGUAAAGCUCCUUAUAGAAAAAUUUAUAAUAGGUUAAUUUUUUAAUAAAAAAUAUUUUCUAGGCUUAGAAGUAGCAAUGAAUGUAAAGUGUUUCAACUGAUUUUUUAUGUUAGGGAAAAUUUUAUUAAUCUUUAAGUGAUAUUAGGAUAUUUGUGAGAAUUAAGAAUAUUAAGAAAUAAUGAUUUUAUUAGUAGAUAAGAUGAAUGUUGAAGAAAGAUAAAAAUAUAAUACUUGAAAUAAAUAUAAAUAAUGAUGGAGGUAGAAUAAAGGAAUUCGGCAAAAAUGUUCUUUGCCUGUUUAUCAAAAACAUGUCUACAUAGAGGAGAUAUAUGUGGUCCGGCCUGCUCACUGAGCCAGGAGACUUAAAGAGCCGCGGUAUUUUGACCGUGCAAAGGUAGCAUAAUCAUUAGUUCUUUAAUUGGGAACUUGUAUGAAUGGUUAAACAAAAGAAAUACUGUCUCUAUUUCUAAAAUUUGAAUUUAACUUUUAAGUGAAAAGGCUUAAAUUGGUCAAGGGGACGAUAAGACCCUAUAAAGCUUUAUAAAUAACUAGGGAUUUUUUGGGUUAUAAAGAUAAAAAAGAAUGCUAGAAGUUUAUUAUGUUGGGGCGACACGGAUAUAGAUUAAAGCAACUAUCAGGAAAAAACACAAUAAUUUUUGAAUUUUAUGAUCCUAAUUAAAGAUUAUAAGACUAAGUUACUUUAGGGAUAACAGCGUAAUUCUUUUUGAGAGUUCAUAUCGAAAAAAGAGUUUGCGACCUCGAUGUUGAAUCAUAAAAUCUUUAUAGUGCAGCAGUUAUAAAAGAGGGUCUGUUCGACCUUUAAAAUUUUACGUGAUUUGAGUUCAAACCGGUGUAAGCCAGGUUGGUUUCUAUCUCUUGAUGAGGUUAGGUGUUACUUUAGUACGAAAGGAUUAAGUAAUAGGAAUUGUUCUGAGAUUGUAAUUUGAUUAAUAUAAUCUAAUAUAACUAGGUUGAAGGAAAAAGAAAAUUAUAU